Non-coding RNA from Cyanistes caeruleus (blue tit), 516 nucleotides. Lineage: Eukaryota; Metazoa; Chordata; Aves; Passeriformes; Paridae. The record is from RefSeq and is a predicted model, not a curated record.
GCCCUUUGCCCGGCCGCGCUGCACAGCGCGGGGAUGCCAGCCUCGGGGCCGGCCUCGCGUCACUCCAGGGCAGAGGGCUAUUGCGGAGCCUUGCAGCCGAGAGAGGGGGAGAGGACAUCUUACAGCUCGGCUGGCUCGGGGCGGAAAAAACCCGGUGAUUCAUAUUCACUGCGCUGUCUCCUAUAACCCAAGGCAACCGGCGCGCUCCUCUGGUAGGCUUGCAGGUGCAUUGCUCCCCAGCCAGGGGAGGGAAAGCGCUGCGGGCGAUGCAACAAGUGCCUGGGAUGAUGCCAGCAUGAGCAGCCUCUCUGCGUGGCUUGUUCCAGUUGCCCGAUCCAACAUGCCUCCCGUUUUCCUGACUGAGAUCCAUGGUCUGUAAUGCUGAAGGCCCCUUCUGGCUGUGGCACAAAGCAAGUCCUGUCGCCAGCUGUGGAUCAUCAUGUCUAUCUCAUUUAUUUCUCUCAUCAGUGUUCUGUCCUGAGUAAAUAAAGUGUAAAAUAAGCUUGUCUUACCCGA